This 207-nucleotide ribosomal RNA is filed under the name uncultured bacterium. RNAcentral's name for it is "partial 16S ribosomal RNA". It matches the Rfam family "Bacterial small subunit ribosomal RNA", at positions 568 to 774 of the family's 1533-position model. The record is from RNAcentral.
UGCGUAGGUGGUAUGGCAAGUCAGAAGUGAAAACCCAGGGCUUAACUCUGGGACUGCUUUUGAAACUGUCAGACUGGAGUGCAGGAGAGGUAAGCGGAAUUCCUAGUGUAGCGGUGAAAUGCGUAGAUAUUAGGAGGAACACCAGUGGCGAAGGCGGCUUACUGGACGGUAACUGACGUUGAGGCUCGAAAGCGUGGGGAGCAAACA